AACUAACUAGGAUUCCCUCAGUAGCUGCGAGCGAACAGGGAAGAGCCCAGCACCGAAUCCCGCGGCCGAUACCGGACGCCGGGAAAUGUGGUGUUAGGGAGGGUCCAUUAUCCCGAGAUCAUGCGGUGCGUCCAAGUCCUUCUUGAACGGGGCCACAGCCCAUAGAGGGUGCCAGGCCCGUAGUGACCGCUGCUGAUCGCGGGAGGAUCUCUCCUCAGAGUCGGGUUGCUUGAGAGUGCAGCCCUAAGUGGGUGGUAAACUCCAUCUAAGGCUAAAUAUGACCACGAGACCGAUAGCGAACAAGUACCGUGAGGGAAAGUUGAAAAGCACUUUGAAGAGAGAGUUCAAGAGUACGUGAAACCGUUUAGGGGUAAACCUGAGAAACCCGAAAGGUCGAAGGGAGAAAUUCAUUCGCGUUUCGCCGUUGGCGUGAGACGGUCGUGUGACGGGGAACGUUCGCGUUAACCGCACCUUCCGUUUUUCGAUCCGAUAGCGAACGUGUGCACUUUUCUCCUGGUAGGACGUCGCGAUCCGUUGGGUGUCGGUCUACGGCUCAUGGUGGAGCCCGUAUGUACGGCUUGCCGUUACGUGCGGACCCGUGUGUCCUGGCUGACUCGCUCGACGGUAUACGAAAGGUUUAAGGCCGCUCUUUGAGCGUUCGACUCGUAGCAAGCGCGUCAGAUGUGUUGGCGAUCGGACCUGGUGCCGGUUCUGACCUCUGGCGACUGUUGGCUGCGAUGUUCUCGAACAGACCUUUGACCGAUCUGCGACGCUAUAGCUUUGGGUACUUUCAGGACCCGU
RNAcentral lists this ribosomal RNA (801 nucleotides) under Hypera postica (alfalfa weevil). RNAcentral describes it as "eukaryotic LSU rRNA". It matches the Rfam family "Eukaryotic large subunit ribosomal RNA", at positions 63 to 652 of the family's 3401-position model. The record is from RNAcentral. Lineage: Eukaryota; Metazoa; Arthropoda; Insecta; Coleoptera; Curculionidae.